UGGGGAAUAUUGCACAAUGGGCGCAAGCCUGAUGCAGCAACGCCGCGUGAGGGAUGACGGCCUUCGGGUUGUAAACCUCUUUUAGCAGGGAAGAAGCGAAAGUGACGGUACCUGCAGAAAAAGCACCGGCUAACUACGUGCCAGCAGCCGCGGUAAUACGUAGGGUGCAAGCGUUGUCCGGAAUUAUUGGGCGUAAAGAGCUCGUAGGCGGUCUGUCGCGUCUGCUGUGAAAUCCCGAGGCUCAACCUCGGGCCUGCAGUGGGUACGGACAGACUAGAGUGCGGUAGGGGAGAAUGGAACUCCUGGUGUAGCGGUGGAAUGCGCAGAUAUCAGGAAGAACACCGAUGGCGAAGGCAGUUCUCUGGGCCGUAACUGACGCUGAGGAGCGAAAGCGUGGGGAGCGAACAGGAUUAGAUACCCUGGUAGUCCACGCCGUAAACGUUGGGCGCUAGAUGUGGGGACCAUUCCACGGUUUCCGUGUCGCAGCUAACGCAUUAAGCGCCCCGCCUGGGGAGUACGGCCGCAAGGCUAAAACUCAAAUGAAUUGACGGGGUCAUAGCUG
This 562-nucleotide ribosomal RNA is filed under the name uncultured bacterium. Its description in RNAcentral is "partial 16S ribosomal RNA". It matches the Rfam family "Bacterial small subunit ribosomal RNA", at positions 355 to 932 of the family's 1533-position model. The record is from RNAcentral.